GGGAGCAUAGCUCAGCUGGUUUAGAGCACCUGCCUUACAAGCAGGGGGUCAUGAGUUCGAAUCUCUUUGCUCCCA
Molecule: transfer RNA, 75 nt
Filed under: Bacteroidales bacterium
Lineage: Bacteria; Pseudomonadati; Bacteroidota; Bacteroidia; Bacteroidales
Description: tRNA-Val
Rfam family: tRNA
About the family: Transfer RNA (tRNA) molecules are approximately 80 nucleotides in length. Their secondary structure includes four short double-helical elements and three loops (D, anti-codon, and T loops). Further hydrogen bonds mediate the characteristic L-shaped molecular structure. tRNAs have two regions of fundamental functional importance: the anti-codon, which is responsible for specific mRNA codon recognition, and the 3' end, to which the tRNAs corresponding amino acid is attached (by aminoacyl-tRNA synthetases). tRNAs cope with the degeneracy of the genetic code in two manners: having more than one tRNA (with a specific anti-codon) for a particular amino acid; and 'wobble' base-pairing, i.e. permitting non-standard base-pairing at the 3rd anti-codon position.
Source: RNAcentral